Molecule: transfer RNA, 77 nt
Filed under: bacterium
Lineage: Bacteria
Also listed under: 2 other names
Description: tRNA-Val
Rfam family: tRNA
About the family: Transfer RNA (tRNA) molecules are approximately 80 nucleotides in length. Their secondary structure includes four short double-helical elements and three loops (D, anti-codon, and T loops). Further hydrogen bonds mediate the characteristic L-shaped molecular structure. tRNAs have two regions of fundamental functional importance: the anti-codon, which is responsible for specific mRNA codon recognition, and the 3' end, to which the tRNAs corresponding amino acid is attached (by aminoacyl-tRNA synthetases). tRNAs cope with the degeneracy of the genetic code in two manners: having more than one tRNA (with a specific anti-codon) for a particular amino acid; and 'wobble' base-pairing, i.e. permitting non-standard base-pairing at the 3rd anti-codon position.
Source: RNAcentral
GGGCGAUUAGCUCAUUUGGCUAGAGCGCUACAUUGACGUUGUAGAGGUGAUAGGUUCGAAUCCUAUAUCGCCCACCA